This 205-nucleotide transfer RNA is filed under the name Marmota monax (woodchuck). RNAcentral's name for it is "tRNA.Ala". The record is from RNAcentral. Lineage: Eukaryota; Metazoa; Chordata; Mammalia; Rodentia; Sciuridae.
GGUUGUAGCUCAGUGGUAGAGCGCUUGCCUAGCACUGGGUUCAAUCCCCAGCACCACAAAAAAAUAAACAUUUAAAAUAAAAGUAUUGUGUCCAACUAUAACAAAAAAAUAAAUAUUAAAAAAAUUAUCAAAAAUAUAUAUUUUUUAAAAGUGCUGAUGAUGUGGCUCAGUAAUUAAGCACCCCUGGGUUUAAUUCCAAGUAUCA